AACGAACGCUGGCGGCAGGCUUAACACAUGCAAGUCGAGCGCAUCCUUCGGGAUGAGCGGCAGACGGGUGAGUAACGCGUGGGAAUCUACCCUUUUCUACGGAAUAACGCAGGGAAACUUGUGCUAAUACCGUAUGUGUCCUUCGGGAGAAAGAUUUAUCGGGAAAGGAUGAGCCCGCGUUGGAUUAGCUAGUUGGUGGGGUAAAGGCCUACCAAGGCGACGAUCCAUAGCUGGUCUGAGAGGAUGAUCAGCCACAUUGGGACUGAGACACGGCCCAAACUCCUACGGGAGGCAGCAGUGGGGAAUAUUGGACAAUGGGCGCAAGCCUGAUCCAGCCAUGCCGCGUGAGUGAUGAAGGCCUUAGGGUUGUAAAGCUCUUUCACCGGGGAAGAUAAUGACGGUACCCGGAGAAGAAGCCCCGGCUAACUUCGUG
Molecule: ribosomal RNA, 433 nt
Filed under: uncultured bacterium 'eubacterium sp.'
Lineage: Bacteria
Also listed under: 1 other name
Description: bacterial SSU rRNA
Rfam family: Bacterial small subunit ribosomal RNA
Source: RNAcentral